CUUCCCUCCCUCCUAAAGAAUUUUUGCAAAAGGGCCCCACCCCUGCACAGAUAUGUUGCAGAAAUGCCCACAUCAGCAAGCUUCUCUCAGGGGGUCUUCUUAUUAAAUGCCAAUUAGUUCCGACAGUGGGUGUGUUGAGCUCCGUGCGAUGUUUUACCGACCAUGCUGACACAGACCAGGAGCCCAGCAAUCCUUUCCAGAAACUUCACUCCAUUUCAGUGAAAACCUAAGACCAAUGAGAUGGUUCAUCUGGUAAAGAUACCUGCUGUUAGUCCUGAGGACAUGCGUUCCAAUCCCCAGAACCCAUGGUGGAAGGAAAGAACUAACCCCUGCAAGUUGGCACGUGCACACACACACACUGCAAA
Molecule: long non-coding RNA, 365 nt
Filed under: Cricetulus griseus (Chinese hamster)
Lineage: Eukaryota; Metazoa; Chordata; Mammalia; Rodentia; Cricetidae
Description: lncRNA (ENSCGRG00015033223.1)
Source: RNAcentral